UUAUCUCCCCCAAGAGUCCACAUCGACGGGGAGGUUUGGCACCUCGAUGUCGGCUCGUCGCAUCCUGGGGCUGUAGUCGGUCCCAAGGGUUGGGCUGUUCGCCCAUUAAAGCGGCACGCGAGCUGGGGUCAGAACGUCGUGAGACAGUUCGGGCCCUAUCCGUCGCGGGCGCAGGAAAUUUGAGAGGAGCUGUCCCUAGUACGAGAGG
This 208-nucleotide ribosomal RNA is filed under the name Listeria monocytogenes. RNAcentral's name for it is "partial 23S ribosomal RNA". It matches the Rfam family "Bacterial large subunit ribosomal RNA", at positions 2483 to 2690 of the family's 2925-position model. Lineage: Bacteria; Bacillati; Bacillota; Bacilli; Caryophanales; Listeriaceae. The record is from RNAcentral.